GGGUAUAGCUCAGUUGGUAGAGUAGCGGUCUCCAAAACCGUUGGUCGAGGGUUCGAGCCCUUCUGCC
RNAcentral lists this transfer RNA (67 nucleotides) under bovine gut metagenome. It matches the Rfam family "tRNA". From Rfam's summary of the family: Transfer RNA (tRNA) molecules are approximately 80 nucleotides in length. Their secondary structure includes four short double-helical elements and three loops (D, anti-codon, and T loops). Further hydrogen bonds mediate the characteristic L-shaped molecular structure. tRNAs have two regions of fundamental functional importance: the anti-codon, which is responsible for specific mRNA codon recognition, and the 3' end, to which the tRNAs corresponding amino acid is attached (by aminoacyl-tRNA synthetases). tRNAs cope with the degeneracy of the genetic code in two manners: having more than one tRNA (with a specific anti-codon) for a particular amino acid; and 'wobble' base-pairing, i.e. permitting non-standard base-pairing at the 3rd anti-codon position. The record is from RNAcentral.